Molecule: long non-coding RNA, 800 nt
Organism: Felis catus (domestic cat)
Lineage: Eukaryota; Metazoa; Chordata; Mammalia; Carnivora; Felidae
Exons: 2
Source: RefSeq, a predicted model, not a curated record
AAUUCAACACAAUGCCACACAGCCAAACCAUAUUUCUGGAUGCAGCAAAUGUACUGUGACUAGAGUCAUUUGAUAAGCAUUUUUGCAAAAAGGAAACAUUUAAAUAAGAUUUUAAAGGGCUGCUGGGAGAUUUGGGAAGUCAGCACUAGCCCCUCCCUGACUUUUUCUGAACAUCUCUGCGCAAAUUCUUCAUAUUAAGAGACGGGCUUUAAAAGGACCAAAGAAAUGAAAACUAACGGUUAUCUCACGGGCUAGGAGUGUCAAGCCCUUAUCCUACGACUGACUCACGAGACAUAAAUUCAGCCUCUUGAGGGACAGCAAAAAUCUCAAACAGGUCAGCGUGAAAGGACCGAACCUUUCAAGAACCCCUUGGCUUUAAGUUUCAUCUUGUGGCAACACGGUUACUGCCGCCCAAGAAAAAGAAUCGCCCUUCCAAUUUGGUGCGCCUGUGACAGUCUCAGAAUCGUGCCUCUCAGACGCCGCUCGAAGCCUAAGUUUCGUGGCCUCUAGUAGUCAUUUUUUCCUUCAAAUCUCGGCUCGCAGCAUGCAGCGUGGGGGAGGGGAGGAAGGCUUCCUACACACAUCGGCCCCUGGGCUCCAGCUCGCACAAAAGUUUUCUCCCGGCUCAGUGGUGGAAAAUGCGAAGUUUCAGUUGGACGUUGCUGAAAAGAAAGAUAAGAUUUCUUUCUGUCCAAGAUGACGGACCAUCUGCUUCCAUCCAGAGACUCCUUUAGCUCCACUGACCACAGGAUAAGAACCCCUGGGCUGAAUAUUGCAAUUAAAGUGAUUCCAUCACCUGA